GCCUCAGUACGGCGAGUGAAGCGGCAACAGCUCAAAUUUGAAAUCUGGCCUCACGGUCCGAGUUGUAAUUUGUAGAGGAUGUUUUGGGUACCGCCGUGGUUUAAUUUUCUUGGAACAGGAAGCCACAGAGGGUGAGAGUCCCGUCUUGGACCGCGGUAGGACCCGUGUAAAACUCCUUCGACGAGUCGAGUUGUUUGGGAAUGCAGCUCAAAAUGGGUGGUAAAUUUCAUCUAAAGCUAAAUAUUGGCCAGAGACCGAUAGCGCACAAGUAGAGUGAUCGAAAGAUGAAAAGCACUUUGAAAAGAGAGUUAAACAGUAUGUGAAAUUGUUGAAAGGGAAGCGCAGGCAACCAGACUCGCGCGCGGGGUUCCCCCUGGCUUCUGCCUGGGUUACUUCCCCGCGUCCGGGCCAUCAUCAGUUUGGGGGGCCGGUUAAAGGCUCCGGGAAUGUAUCCUCGCCUUCGGGAGAGGACUUAUAGCCCGGGGUGUCAUGCGGCCUCCCCGGACUGAGGAACGCGCUUCGGCGAGGAUGAUGGCGUAAUGGUUGUCUGCGACCCGUCUUGAAACACGGACCAAGGAGUCUAACAUCUAUGCGAGUGUUCGGGUGUCAAACCCUUGCGCGUAAUGAAAGUGAACGGAGGUAGGAAGGCCUAAGCCUGCACUAUCGACCGAUCCUGAUGUCUUCGGAUGGAUUUGAGUAAGAGCAUAGCUGUUGGGACCCGAAAGAUGGUGAACUAUGCGUGAAUAGGGUGAAGCCAGAGGAAACUCUGGUGGAGGCUCGCAGCGGUUCUGACGUGCAAAUCGAUCGUCAAAUUUGCGUAUAGGGGCGAAAGACUAAUCGAACCAUCUGGUAGCUGGUUCCUGCCGAAGUUUCCCUCAGGAUAGCAGUAACGUUUUCAGUUUUAUGAGGUAAAGCGAAUGAUUAGAGGCCUUGGGGUUGAAACAACCUUAACCUAUUCUCAAACUUUAAAUAUGUAAGAAGUCCUUGUCACUUAGUUGGACGUGGACAUUUGAAUGUAUCGUUACUAGUGGGCCAUUUUUGGUAAGCAGAACUGGCGAUGCGGGAUGAACCGAACGCGAGGUUAAGGUGCCGGAAUACACGCUCAUCAGACACCACAAAAGGUGUCAAUGCAUCUAGACAGCCGGACGGUGGCCAUGGAAGUCGGAAUCCGCUUAGGAGUGUGUAACAACUCACCGGCCGAAUGCAUUGGCCCUGAAAAUGGAUGGCGCUUAAGCGUGUUACCCAUACCUCGCCGUCAGGGUUGAAAUGAUGCCCUGACGAGUAGGCAGGCGUGGAGGUCCGUGACGAAGCCUUGGGGGUGACCCUGGGUCGAACGGCCUCUAGUGCAGAUCU
RNAcentral lists this ribosomal RNA (1353 nucleotides) under Chaetothyriales sp. MACrh12a. Its description in RNAcentral is "eukaryotic LSU rRNA". It matches the Rfam family "Eukaryotic large subunit ribosomal RNA", at positions 77 to 1451 of the family's 3401-position model. Lineage: Eukaryota; Fungi; Ascomycota; Eurotiomycetes; Chaetothyriales. The record is from RNAcentral.